Molecule: ribosomal RNA, 253 nt
Filed under: uncultured bacterium
Lineage: Bacteria
Description: partial 16S ribosomal RNA
Rfam family: Bacterial small subunit ribosomal RNA
Source: RNAcentral
AACGUAGGAGACGACCGUUAUCCGGAGUUACUGGGCGUAAAGGGCGUGUAGGCGGUUUGUUAAGUCUGGCGUGAAAGCUCUCGGCUAAACCGGGAGAGGUCGUUGGAUACUGGCGAACUCGAGGAUGGUAGAGGCGUGUGGAAUUCCGGGUGUAGUGGUGAAAUGCGUAGAGAUCCGGAGGAACACCAGUGGCGAAGGCGACACGCUGGGCCAUACCUGACGCUAAAGCGCGACAGCAUGGGGAGCAAACGGG